CGGAAUGUAGCGCAGCCUGGUAGCGCACCUGCUUCGGGAGCAGGGGGCCGGAGGUUCGAAUCCUCUCAUUCCGA
This is a non-coding RNA of Geobacteraceae bacterium GWC2_58_44, 74 nucleotides long. Lineage: Bacteria; Pseudomonadati; Thermodesulfobacteriota; Desulfuromonadia; Geobacterales; Geobacteraceae. The record is from Rfam.